Suricata suricatta (meerkat) is the source of this 335-nucleotide long non-coding RNA. RefSeq lists it as uncharacterized. Lineage: Eukaryota; Metazoa; Chordata; Mammalia; Carnivora; Herpestidae. The transcript is spliced from 3 exons. The record is from RefSeq and is a predicted model, not a curated record.
AGUUCCUGAACCUGUGGUCAAGAAGCUAUGAGCCCCCUGGUCCCACCACGCCCACUGCCAACGGGCCAAGGUCACCAUGUUGCUCAGCUGCCUUGUACUUGAUGGUCCGGGACCUGUUGUGCUAACGGCUCUGCAGAUGUUUGUGGAAACCUCACAGCAAGUGUAAGAGUUCUGAGCUCAAAGGUGGCCAAGGAAUGACAGCAGCCACCAGAAACUGGAAGAGGCAAGGAAAGCCCUCUCUCUCGAGCUGUAAAAGGGGACAUGGACCUCCCGACAUCUUGAUUUUGGACUCCUGGCCUCCAGAACUUCGAGAAAAUAAAUUUCUGCUGUUUUAA